This 439-nucleotide ribosomal RNA is filed under the name uncultured bacterium. Its description in RNAcentral is "partial 16S ribosomal RNA". It matches the Rfam family "Bacterial small subunit ribosomal RNA", at positions 339 to 795 of the family's 1533-position model. The record is from RNAcentral.
CUACGGGGUGCUCCAGUGGGGAAUAUUGCACAAUGGAGGAAACUCUGAUGCAGCAACGCCGCGUGGGGGAUGACCCUUUUCGGAGCGUAAACUCCUUUUAUAUAGGAAGAAGAUGACGGUACUAUAUGAAUAAGCGCCGGCUAACUCCGUGCCAGCAGCCGCGGUAAUACGGAGGGCGCAAGCGUUACUCGGAAUCACUGGGCGUAAAGAGCGUGUAGGCGGAUUAAAAAGUCAGAAGUGAAAUCCUAUAGCUUAACUAUAGAACUGCUUCUGAAACUCUUAAUCUAGAAUAUGGGAGAGGUAGAUGGAAUUUCUGGUGUAGGUGUAAAAUCCGUAGAGAUCAGAAGGAAUACCGAUUGCGAAGGCGAUCUACUAGAACAUUAUUGACGCUGAGACGCGAAAGCGUGGGGAGCAAACAGGAUUAGAUACCCGAGUAGUC